AUUGAACGCUGGCGGCAGGCCUAACACAUGCAAGUCGAACGGUAACAGGAAGCAGCUUGCUGCUUUGCUGACGAGUGGCGGACGGGUGAGUAAUGUCUGGGAAACUGCCUGAUGGAGGGGGAUAACUACUGGAAACGGUAGCUAAUACCGCAUAACGUCGCAAGACCAAAGAGGGGGACCUUCGGGCCUCUUGCCAUCGGAUGUGCCCAGAUGGGAUUAGCUAGUAGGUGGGGUAACGGCUCACCUAGGCGACGAUCCCUAGCUGGUCUGAGAGGAUGACCGGCCACACUGGAACUGAGACACGGUCAAGACUCCUACGGGAGGCAGCAGUGGGGAAUAUUGCACAAUGGGCGCAAGCCUGAUGCAGCCAGGCCGCGUGUAUGAAGAAGGCCUUCGGGUUGUAAAGUACUUUCAGCGGGGAGGAAGGGAGUAAAGUUAAUACCUUUGCUCAUUGACGUUACCCGCAGAAGAAGCACCGGCUAACUCCGUG
RNAcentral lists this ribosomal RNA (490 nucleotides) under uncultured bacterium. Its description in RNAcentral is "partial 16S ribosomal RNA". It matches the Rfam family "Bacterial small subunit ribosomal RNA", at positions 30 to 507 of the family's 1533-position model. The record is from RNAcentral.